AACGAACGCUGGCGGCAGGCCUAACACAUGCAAGUCGAGCGAGGACUUCGGUCCUAGCGGCGGACGGGUGAGUAACGCGUGGGAACGUGCCCUUUGCUUCGGAAUAGCCCUGGGAAACUGGGAGUAAUACCGGAUGAGCCCUUUGGGGGAAAGAUUUAUCGGCGAAGGAUCGGCCCGCGUUGGAUUAGGUAGUUGGUGGGGUAAUGACCUACCAAGCCGACGAUCCAUAGCUGGUUUGAGAGGAUGAUCAGCCACACUGGGACUGAGACACGGCCCAGACUCCUACGGGAGGCAGCAGUGGGGAAUCUUAGACAAUGGGGGAAACCCUGAUCUAGCCAUGCCGCGUGAGCGAUGAAGGCCUUAGGGUUGUAAAGCUCUUUCAGCUGGGAAGAUAAUGACGGUACCAGCAGAAGAAGCCCCGGCUAACUCCGUG
This 433-nucleotide ribosomal RNA is filed under the name uncultured bacterium. RNAcentral's name for it is "partial 16S ribosomal RNA". It matches the Rfam family "Bacterial small subunit ribosomal RNA", at positions 29 to 507 of the family's 1533-position model. The record is from RNAcentral.